RNAcentral lists this ribosomal RNA (492 nucleotides) under uncultured bacterium. Its description in RNAcentral is "partial 16S ribosomal RNA". It matches the Rfam family "Bacterial small subunit ribosomal RNA", at positions 29 to 507 of the family's 1533-position model. The record is from RNAcentral.
AGUGAACGCUGGCGGUAGGCCUAACACAUGCAAGUCGAACGGCAGCACAGUAAGAGCUUGCUCUUACGGGUGGCGAGUGGCGGACGGGUGAGGAAUACAUCGGAAUCUACUUUUUCGUGGGGGAUAAUGUAGGGAAACUUACGCUAAUACCGCAUACGACCUACGGGUGAAAGCAGGGGAUCUUCGGACCUUGCGCGAUUGCAUGAGCCGAUGUCGGAUUAGCUAGUUGGCGGGGUAAAGGCCCACCAAGGCGACGAUCCGUAGCUGGUCUGAGAGGAUGAUCAGCCACACUGGAACUGAGACACGGUCCAGACUCCUACGGGAGGCAGCAGUGGGGAAUAUUGGACAAUGGGCGCAAGCCUGAUCCAGCCAUACCGCGUGGGUGAAGAAGGCCUUCGGGUUGUAAAGCCCUUUUGUUGGGAAAGAAAAGCAGCAGGUUAAUACCCCGCUGUUCUGACGGUACCCAAAGAAUAAGCACCGGCUAACUUCGUG